RNAcentral lists this ribosomal RNA (292 nucleotides) under uncultured bacterium. Its description in RNAcentral is "partial 16S ribosomal RNA". It matches the Rfam family "Bacterial small subunit ribosomal RNA", at positions 505 to 796 of the family's 1533-position model. The record is from RNAcentral.
GUGUCAGCCGCCGCGGUAAGACGAACCUUGCUAACGUUAUUCGGAAUUACUGGGCUUAAAGGGUGCGUAGGCGGUGCAGCAAGUCGGGUGUGAAAGCCCUCAGCUCAACUGAGGAAUUGCGCCCGAAACUGCUGUGCUUGAGGAAUACAGAGGUAUGCGGAACUUAGGGUGGAGCGGUGAAAUGCGUUGAUAUCCUAAGGAACACCGGUGGCGAAAGCGGCAUACUGGGUAUUUUCUGACGCUCAUGCACGAAAGCUAGGGUAGCGAACGGGAUUAGAAACCCUUGUAGUCC